RNAcentral lists this ribosomal RNA (468 nucleotides) under uncultured bacterium. Its description in RNAcentral is "partial 16S ribosomal RNA". It matches the Rfam family "Bacterial small subunit ribosomal RNA", at positions 28 to 507 of the family's 1533-position model. The record is from RNAcentral.
GACGAACGCUGGCGGCGUGCUUAACACAUGCGAGUCGAACGGAAAGGCCCUGCUUUUGUGGGGUGCUCGAGUGGCGAACGGGUGAGUAACACGUGAGUAACCUGCCCUUGACUUUGGGAUAACUUCAGGAAACUGGUGCUAAUACCGGAUAGGAGCUCCUGCUGCAUGGUGGGGGUUGGAAAGUUUCGGCGGUUGGGGAUGGACUCGCGGCUUAUCAGCUUGUUGGUGGGGUAGUGGCUUACCAAGGCUUUGACGGGUAGCCGGCCUGAGAGGGUGACCGGCCACAUUGGGACUGAGAUACGGCCCAGACUCCUACGGGAGGCAGCAGUGGGGAAUAUUGCACAAUGGGCGGAAGCCUGAUGCAGCAACGCCGCGUGCGGGAUGACGGCCUUCGGGUUGUAAACCGCUUUCGCCUGUGACGAAGCGUGAGUGACGGUAAUGGGUAAAGAAGCACCGGCUAACUACGUG